RNA transcript from Nicotiana attenuata, 2060 nucleotides. It is a transcript of the gene named arabinosyltransferase RRA3-like, with no coding region annotated. The transcript is spliced from 3 exons. Lineage: Eukaryota; Viridiplantae; Streptophyta; Magnoliopsida; Solanales; Solanaceae. The record is from RefSeq and is a predicted model, not a curated record.
CUCUUCAUUACAAACAACCUGGUCCGCGAAACACCAAAUAAAAACCCACAUUGAAUAAAUAAUUCUAACCACAGCGGUGCCACACUCUCUACAAAGAAGACUUCGUAGACUUUGAUUCAUCUCCAUAAUCAAAGAUCCAAACUUUUUGAGUUUUCAAAACCCAUCUCAGCUUAAUCUUGUACCCCCAAUUUUCUGCAUUUCAUUUCUUUCACGAAGCAGUGUUUUUUCUUCUUUUUUAAUUGUUAAAAUGUUUGAGUAAUCUUUACUCCAUGCUAUAGAAAAAUAAGGAUUUUGUGUAAUUCAAAAAAAAAAAAAAAAUUGUGUCGUGGGUGUGACGGAAAAAUGGCGGGUCGUAGGGAGAAGUAUGGGCAAUCAAUAAGAGGAUCUCGAAUUGCUGCAGCAAUUGCGAUCGGUGUUCUUUUGGGCUGUGUCUUUGCUUUCUUGUAUCCUAAUGGAUUCUUCUCUCCCGAUCCACCUCACCCUCUUUCUAAAUCCAAUCUUCAGGUUGGCUCAUCCAAUUGUGAAUCCACGGAGCGGAUUAAUAUGUUGAAUUCCGAGAAUAGGAAGUUGACUGAGAAAAAUGCAGAGUUGCAAAGGCAGGUGAGGGAACUAAAUCAAAAGCUUCAGGUGGCUGCACAGGGAAACGGUCGUGCUCAGGAGCAACUUGUGGUGUCGAGUCAACCUCAGAAAGCUGGGCCUUUUGGAACUGUCAAAAGUUUGAGAACUAACCCUCCUGUUGUGCCCGAUGAAUUGGUAAACCCAAGAUUAGCAAAGAUGUUGGCAGAGAUUGCAGUUAGCAAAGAGGUCAUAGUUGCACUUGCCAAUUCAAAUGUUAGAUCCAUGCUGGAGGUUUGGUUCAACAGUAUUAAAAAAGUGGGUAUUCCCAAUUAUCUGGUUGUGGCAUUGGAUGACGCUAUAGUGGAUUUCUGCAAGGAAAAUGAUGUCCCAGUUUAUAAAAGAGACCCUGAUGAUAAUGUCGAUUUUAUUGGAAAAAAUGGAGGCAACCAUGCUGUCUCAGGAUUGAAGUUUCGAAUUUUGAGGGAGUUUUUGCAGCUUGGUUACAGUGUCCUUCUUUCUGACGUCGAUAUUGUGUAUCUGCAAAAUCCUUUUGAUCAUUUAUAUCGGGAUUCAGAUGUCGAAUCAAUGUCUGACGGUCACAAUAAUAUGACAGCUUAUGGUUACAAUGACGUUUUCGAUGAACCUUCAAUGGGUUGGGCUCGAUAUGCACAUACAAUGAGGCUUUGGGUUUAUAAUUCUGGCUUCUUUUAUAUCCGACCAACGAUUCCUUCAAUCGAGCUCUUAGAUCGGGUUGCUGAUCGGCUUACUAAGCAGCCAAAUUCCUGGGACCAGGCAGUUUUCAAUGAAGAGCUCGCCUUUCCAUCACAUCCCGGGUAUGUUGGCCUUUAUGCUUCCAGGAGAACAAUGGAUAUCUAUCUGUUCAUGAAUAGCAAGGUCCUGUUCAAGACUGUAAGAAAAGAUGCUAAUCUGAAGAAGUUGAAACCGGUUAUAGUUCAUGUAAACUAUCACCCGGACAAGUUUCCUAGAAUGAAAGCAGUUGUUGAGUACUAUGUCAACGGCAAGCAGGAUGCGCUGGAUGCAUUCCCAGAUGGUUCAGAAUAAUAGCAGCAGCUGCUGAAAUUGGACCAUACAUUGAGAGCUAGGCCAGCUAUAUUCUCUGUCGUACUAUUUUGUCUUUACAUACAGGACCUUGUCAUCACCAGUAUCAGCAUCGUCAUCAUUUUCUUCCUGAGGGAGCUUAAAAAACCCGUAGAGGCGAGAGCCAUCUUGAACCCCGUAUUCACUAAGGGAUUUUUGAUCUUCAUUCAUCAUGAUAUGAUCACCAUCCUUGUCGAGCAAAAGGAUGAGGCGAUCACCGGGAAGGUUUUCUUGAUUCUGUAUUGCUAUCUUCAAAUCUAGCACUGUUGCAUUGUCGCCUACUUGGACAUGAAAGAUUGUUCCUGUCAUAAUCUCGACCACCACCUGCAUUUUUGUUUUGUUUUUGUUGAGUGCUUGUUCUGUGAUGAGAGAUCCAUGAAUUAUAAAGAAUGUUUUCACAGGAA